GAUGAACGCUAGCGGCAGGCUUAAUACAUGCAAGUCGUGGGGCAGCAGGGGUAGCAAUACCCGCUGGCGACCGGCAAACGGGUGCGGAACACGUACGCAACCUUCCUUUAACUGGAGAAUAGCCCCUCGAAAGAGGGAUUAAUACUCCGUAACACAUUGACAAGGCAUCUUAUUAAUAUUAUAGCUCCGGCGGUUAAAGAUGGGCGUGCGACUGAUUAGAUAGUUGGCGGGGUAACGGCCCACCAAGUCUGCGAUCAGUAACUGGUGUGAGAGCACGACCAGUCACACGGGCACUGAGACACGGGCCCGACUCCUACGGGAGGCAGCAGUAAGGAAUAUUGGUCAAUGACGCAAGUCUGAACCAGCCAUGCCGCGUGGAGGAUUAAGGCCCUCUGGGUUGUAAACUCCUCUUAUCUGGGAAGAAAUGCAUUUUUUCUAAAAUGCUUGACGGUACCAGAGGAAUAAGCACCGGCUAACUCCGUGCCAGCCGCCG
Molecule: ribosomal RNA, 493 nt
Filed under: uncultured bacterium
Lineage: Bacteria
Description: bacterial SSU rRNA
Rfam family: Bacterial small subunit ribosomal RNA
Source: RNAcentral